RNAcentral lists this ribosomal RNA (474 nucleotides) under uncultured bacterium. Its description in RNAcentral is "partial 16S ribosomal RNA". It matches the Rfam family "Bacterial small subunit ribosomal RNA", at positions 28 to 507 of the family's 1533-position model. The record is from RNAcentral.
GAUGAACGCUAGCGGCAGGCCUAACACAUGCAAGUCGAGGGAGGAGCUUUCGGGCUUCGACCGGCGUACGGGUGCGUAACGCGUAUACAAUCUGCCUUUCACAUAGGGAUAGCCCGAAGAAAUUUGGAUUAAUACCUAAUGGUAUAUAGAGGUGGCAUCACCUUUAUAUUAAACCUGAGGCGGUGAAAGAUGAGUAUGCGUUCUAUUAGCUAGUUGGAGAGGUAACGGCUCCGCAAGGCGACGAUAGAUAGGGGUUCUGAGAGGGAUAUCCACCACAAUGGUACUGCGGUACGGACUAGACUGGUACGCGGGGGAGGGGUGAGGAAUAUUGGGGGAUGGACGGAGGACUAAUCACGCCAUGCCGGGUGCAGAAGGACUGGCUUAUGGAUUGUAAGCUGCUUUGGAAGAAGAAGAAUAAGGACUACGCGUAGUUUGAUGACGGUACUCUGCGAAUAAGCAUCGGCUAACUACGUG